RNAcentral lists this ribosomal RNA (406 nucleotides) under uncultured bacterium. Its description in RNAcentral is "partial 16S ribosomal RNA". It matches the Rfam family "Bacterial small subunit ribosomal RNA", at positions 30 to 526 of the family's 1533-position model. The record is from RNAcentral.
AUUGAACGCUGGCGGCAGGCCUAACACAUGCAAGUCGAACGAGUGGCGGACGGGUGAGUAAUGUAUGGGAAACUGCCUGAUGGAGGGGGAUAACUACUGGAACCGGUAGCUAAUACCGCAUACCAUCGGAUGUGCCCAGAUGGGAUUAGCUAGUAGGUGGGGUAAAGGCUCACCUGGGCGACGAUCCCUAGCUGGUCUGAGAGGAUGACCAGCCACCUUGGAACUGAGACACGGUCCAUACGCCUACGGGAGGCAGCAGGUGGGAAUAUUGCACAAUGGGCGCAAGCCUGAUGCAGCCAUGCCGCGUGUAUGAAGAAGGCCGUCGGGUUGGAAAGUACUUUCAGCGGGGAGGCGUUACCCGCAGAAGAAGCACCGGCUAACUCCGUGCCAGCAGCCGCGGUAAUAC